GACGAACGCUGGCGGCGUGCUUAACACAUGCAAGUCGAACGGAAAGGCCCUGCUUUUGUGGGGUGCUCGAGUGGCGAACGGGUGAGUAACACGUGAGUAACCUGCCCUUGACUUUGGGAUAACUUCAGGAAACUGGGGCUAAUACCGGAUAGGAGCUCCUGCUGCAUGGUGGGGGUUGGAAAGUUUCGGCGGUUGGGGAUGGGCUCGCGGCUUAUCAGCUUGUUGGUGGGGUAGUGGCUUACCAAGGCUUUGACGGGUAGCCGGCCUGAGAGGGUGACCGGCCACAUUGGGACUGAGAUACGGCCCAGACUCCUACGGGAGGCAGCAGUGGGGAUUAUUGCACAAUGGGCGGAAGCCUGAUGCAGCAACGCCGCGUGCGGGAUGACGGCCUUCGGGUUGUAAACCGCUUUCGCCUGUGACGAAGCGUGAGUGACGGUAAUGGGUAAAGAAGCACCGGCUAACUACGUG
Molecule: ribosomal RNA, 468 nt
Filed under: uncultured bacterium
Lineage: Bacteria
Description: partial 16S ribosomal RNA
Rfam family: Bacterial small subunit ribosomal RNA
Source: RNAcentral